Molecule: long non-coding RNA, 2412 nt
Organism: Equus caballus (horse)
Lineage: Eukaryota; Metazoa; Chordata; Mammalia; Perissodactyla; Equidae
Source: Ensembl
AAAAGAAGUGAUAUAAUUCACUAUCAAUGAAUCUUUAUGGUGCUCCCUUCCCUUUACAGGGACUGGAGGGGAAAGAAAAGAGAAAAUUUCAGUCUCUACAGUUCUUUGGUACCACUGAAAUGUGAGGCAGGAGUAGGUGAUUCGGGCUGAGUAGACACAUUGCAGGGCCCAUGGGGAGGAGAGCAUGGAGUAGAAAGGUGGAGAUGGAGGGCUCGGCCUGAUUACAAGAAAAGAAGGCUCCCUCACUGCUGUAAGGUGCCCCGCAAUCUGUCCAGUGCCUAGUCAUUCUUCAUGCUUCAUUUCAUCCCUCACUUUCAAUAAUUCUGGUAAGCUUGUCUUUUCUGGGUUAAUAGGGUGGAGACCUGAAAAAUGGGGAAAUAGGGCAUGUACAGGGCAUACACAGAGGGAGAGGGGCAAGUAACAGACAACGUGAAUUGCCUCCGUCAUCUCAAACUUUCAGUAAAGUCCACAGCAUAAAAAAAACGUGUUGUGUGCGUUAAAUUUUCAGGGGGUAAAGGGUCUGUGUUCCACAGCUUGGGCAAUGUGACAAAGGAACACUGCAUACGGAACAGCAAGAUGCAGCCAGAGUGAAAGGAGAGAAUGUCCUGACAAAGAGCAUGAAGAAAUCCUGGAAGUAGUAAGACGAAGGGGUAAACACAGUCCCUGAAGUCAGACGGUGCUGCAGCUCUGCACGCCCCUCUGCAGGGCCAGAUGGAUUAACCGUGCUAAUGCAAAGAGCCUUACACACACAGUCAAUAAAUGAGGGUCUACCUUCCCUUCUCCAACACCAGAAACCAAUUGUGAUAAUCAGGUCCCACCUGAUUAUCCAGCAGCUUCUGGAACUGAAAAAUAAUAAUGGUGGUUAAAAAGUUUUUUCUGUUUUUAAAUAAGUGUGCAUGAAUAGCAAUAUAAAAAAUGGAAAAACCUAGCUUGGAGACUUGUUUAUUCUGGUUGGGCACUAGUCUUUUGCUGAUUACACUGUAAAUUGAGAAUGGGUAAAUGUUUCACCAUGGACACAGCUGUAUAUGCUGAAUAUAGAUUUCCCAAUAUGUGAGUUUCCAUUGGAGUUCACAGUUCUGAACUUCAUGCCUGAGAGGGCAGCCCACCAACAUGUCAUGCCAUUUGUGAGUUCACUUUUUAAGGCUCAGUUUAAAAGGUGGAAAAUGAAGUUUAGAAGCUAAGAGAAUAAAGACUUAAAGAGCAAGAAAGCCGUAGCUGUGGCCCCAGAUUAUUCUGAUGUAAUAAACUGACGUUUUUCGAAUUUGUAAUUUAUCCUCUUCUUUGCUCUCCACUGACAAGAAAAUUAUUUCCAUAGGAAAACUUUAAAAUAUCGGUUCUUCAUUUGCAUAGUAAUUAGAUAGACUGUAAUGACUAAACUGUAAACUUCUUGGAAGCAAAGGAAAAUACUAGGUUUUCAAACAUGAGGAAAUGGAAAUAAUAGUGAUUUUGAGUAUCUACUUUGUGCCAGGUACUCUGCUAGGUAAUUUGGAAUGUCCAUUUCUGAGCCUUGCCAUAAUUUUGCAUGGUAAGUGUUAUUAACCUAUUUCACAGAUGAAUGGCACAGAGUUUGGUCAACUCACCCAAGAUCACAUGGGUGGUAGAGAAUGGAAUCUGCCACUGUAGGCCUUGCCAACUGCACUGUGCUGUCUUCCUUACAAGAGGCAACAGAAAUACAAUUAGAUUUUGAGUCAGAAGGUGGGGUUUAGGGCCCAGGUCUUUCCUUGUAAGUGUUGAGAGUUUAAUCAAGACAUACCAUUUGCUGGGCUUGAAUUUCCUCGUCUAUAAAAUGAGAAUGUGAGCACCCACCUCACAGCGAACACCUGUGAUCUGUGCAAGUGACUUUUAAGCUGCCAAAAGCCUGCAAAGGAGAAGUGUUUGAGUGGUGACAAUGCUCCCCUUUGCUGCAGUGAGCCCGUCUCCCACCCGCUCUCCGGAUUGGCAUGAGUCAUCAUUGGACACUGGAUGUCAAAGUCAAUGCCAGCCCACGCAGCAGCAUGAAAAUAUGAGUUAUUAACAUUCUUAGGACCUUUGCAAAGCUCAAGCACUAAAUGAACUAGUUCUUAUAAAUUUAGAUUUUCUAAGGUGACUGGUAUAGCCUUUCGGAGUUUCAGAAGCCCAGAGAAUAUCUUCAGACUUGAGUUUAGGAAACGAACACCUUUGAGGAUCUAGGGCAAAGUCUUUUACAGAAUAUACUCCACUAGAUCUGUGAGGAGCCAUAGAGACGACGAAGAGUUCAACCUUAGUUUUGCAGAUGAGGAAAGCGGGAUCUAGACACACACCUAAUUAGUAGCACAGUUAGGACUAGAACUCAGCUGUCCUGGCUCUGAGUUUGUGCUUUCUCCACUGCAUUAGUUGCUCUUAUAAAUUCAUUCACACUCAGAGGAAUGACAUCGAUAACAAAGUUAAUGACAA